Molecule: small nuclear RNA, 108 nt
Organism: Dromiciops gliroides (monito del monte)
Lineage: Eukaryota; Metazoa; Chordata; Mammalia; Microbiotheria; Microbiotheriidae
Source: RefSeq, a predicted model, not a curated record
UUCGGCAGCACAUAUACUAAAUAUACUAAAAUUGGAACGAUACAGAGAAGAUUAGCAUGGCCCCUGCGCAAGGGUGACACGCAAAUUCAUGAAAAUUGUGUUGUUACU